Grammomys surdaster is the source of this 1335-nucleotide long non-coding RNA. RefSeq lists it as uncharacterized. The record is from RefSeq and is a predicted model, not a curated record. The transcript is spliced from 2 exons. Lineage: Eukaryota; Metazoa; Chordata; Mammalia; Rodentia; Muridae.
GCACGGUGUCAUGGUUACGCUGAGGAGGCAUCACGCUGUCCCUGUCAUCAGGCAGCACGUGUUUCAAAGAGACUGACAUUUUCUCACAGCUGUGCUUUGUUCACUGUGGACUCAACUCACCACCUGACUCCCAACAUGCCAAGUUCAGAAUGUACGUUAAAGAAAUGCAUUGAGGUAACAAAUUGAGGUACUGUUUACUAAUCUGGACGCAGAGGCAAAGGGCUGUGUCUCUGAAUUCAAGGCCAGUCUGGUCUACGUAGUGAGUUCCAGUUCAGCCAGGGUUAUAGAAAGAGACUCUGCCUCCAAAAAAAAAAAAGAAAAAAGAAAAAAAGAUAAUUCUCUUGCCUCAAUUAAGAAUAGGGCCAUCUCUACAGUUUUAUGCCAGUUUUAGGAUAGCAUGGUCCUUUGGCAAGCUUACUCUAUAACGCACAGAGCAUUUUGGUGUGGUCCUCCAAGACAACUAGUCGUAUGUAACUAAGUCGUAUGUAUGUAUGUCUGUCUGUCUAUGAUCAGAACUUCCGUUUUCAUAGCUAUGGUGUAACAGCUGGAAUUUUAUGUUCACUAUUUUGGUUACACUUCUGUAAUUAAUGUGAGCAAGGAAAAAGAACCAAGAAAGGUCUACUCUGAAGGAACAGUAUGCACGGAGGGUACAAGAGGCUGGGUGUUCAAGACCUGCACUGACAGGACGGACACCUAGAGUGUUUAAUGUCUCUCAAGGUGAAGCUUUCCCUGCAGAGUUGAGCUAGAUUAAUACCUGUCACCCUCUGAGAUAACUUGACUUUGAGUGUCACGGUCAGGUGGUUUUGUUUGAUGAGAUCCCAGCAUAGCCCUCCCUCCAGAACAUGUGCACAUUAACUCCUUACCACUGAGUCAUAAUUCAGUGAGGUCUGCUCACACUUUACCUUCACUGCCUUUGAUGUGUUCCUGCCGCAGGGCUGGAGGUAGCACAGCCUCUUCUCCGUUCUCAUUUCACAGUUGCCGUUGUCGUUGGUUACGCGGUUAGAGAUCCCCAUCCCGCACGUUCUGGAGCAGGGGGUCCACUUUGUUGCUUGCACAAGACAUUUUUUCUUCCAACUUGUCACAUCCCCUGUCAGGCCCCCAGUAUUCUCUACACUCGCCACUUAAAAUCACCUGUGAGAUACUCAGGGAAGCAACUGCGCAUGAGCCGUGAGUGGGGAACUGGACACCCCUCCCUGCACCCUCUGCCUGCUGCUCAGAAGAAACCAGAAAGAAGACAGAUAAUGUUCCAUCUCUGUGAAAAUCCAUUACGGGACUGUUGUACUCCAGUGGACCAGACCCUUGGCUCAAAUUAGUAAACAGCAUUGCUUUAAUGUA